ACUCCUACGGGAGGCAGCAGUGGGGAAUAUUGGACAAUGGGCGCAAGCCUGAUCCAGCCAUACCGCGUGGGUGAAGAAGGCCUUCGGGUUGUAAAGCCCUUUUGUUGGGAAAGAAAUCCUGUCGGUUAAUAACCGGUGGGGAUGACGGUACCCAAAGAAUAAGCACCGGCUAACUUCGUGCCAGCAGCCGCGGUAAUACGAAGGGUGCAAGCGUUACUCGGAAUUACUGGGCGUAAAGCGUGCGUAGGUGGUGGUUUAAAGUCUGCUGUGAAAGCCCUGGGCUCAACCUGGGAAUUGCAGUGGAUACUGGAUCACUAGAGUGUGGUAGAGGGAUGCGGAAUUUCUGGUGUAGCAGUGAAAUGCGUAGAGAUCAGAAGGAACAUCCGUGGCGAAGGCGGCAUCCUGGGCCAACACUGACACUGAGGCACGAAAGCGUGGGGGAGCAAACAGGAUUAGAUACCCUGGUAGACAU
RNAcentral lists this ribosomal RNA (472 nucleotides) under uncultured bacterium. RNAcentral describes it as "bacterial SSU rRNA". It matches the Rfam family "Bacterial small subunit ribosomal RNA", at positions 335 to 798 of the family's 1533-position model. The record is from RNAcentral.